RNAcentral lists this unclassified non-coding RNA (430 nucleotides) under soil metagenome. RNAcentral's name for it is "partial contains 5.8S ribosomal RNA, internal transcribed spacer 2, and large subunit ribosomal RNA". The stretch from base 1 to 120 matches the Rfam family "5.8S ribosomal RNA", at positions 35 to 154 of the family's 154-position model. The record is from RNAcentral.
GAUGAAGAACGUAGCGAAAUGCGAUACGUAAUGUGAAUUGCAGAAUUCAGUGAAUCAUCGAAUCUUUGAACGCAUAUUGCGCUCUUUGGUAUUCCGAAGAGCAUGCUUGUUUGAGUAUCAGUAAACACCUCAAAACUUUUUUUUUUUUUAAAAAAACAGUUUUGGACUUGAGCAAUCCCAACACCAAUCUUUUUUAGAUCGGUGGCGGGUUGCUUGAAAUGCAGGUGCAGCUGGACAUUCUCCUGAGCUAAAAGCAUAUUUAUUUAGUCCCGUCAAACGGAUUAUUACUUUUGCUGCAGCUAAUAUAAAGGGAGUUUGACCGUUUUGGCUGACUGAUGCAGGAUUUCACAAGGGUCGGCAACGAUUCUUGUAAAACUCGAUCUCAAAUCAAGUAAGACUACCCGCUGAACUUAAGCAUAUCAACGGAGGA